UUACGGCCACAUCACGUUAAAAUACCUCUUCCCGUACGAUCAGCGAAGUUAAGCAGCGUGAAGCCUGAUCAAUACUUAGAUGGGCGACCGUUUGAGAAUAACAGGUGCUGUUA
Acanthosepion pharaonis is the source of this 113-nucleotide non-coding RNA. Lineage: Eukaryota; Metazoa; Mollusca; Cephalopoda; Sepiida; Sepiidae. The record is from the annotation of a GenBank genome assembly.